RNAcentral lists this ribosomal RNA (253 nucleotides) under uncultured bacterium. RNAcentral's name for it is "partial 16S ribosomal RNA". It matches the Rfam family "Bacterial small subunit ribosomal RNA", at positions 524 to 776 of the family's 1533-position model. The record is from RNAcentral.
UACGGAGGGUGCAAGCGUUAUCCGGAUUCACUGGGUUUAAAGGGUGCGUAGGUGGGUUGGUAAGUCAGUGGUGAAAUCCCCGAGCUUAACUUGGGAACUGCCAUUGAUACUAUCAGUCUUGAAUACGGUGGAGGUCGACGGAAUAUGUCAUGUAGCGGUGAAAUGCUUAGAUAUGACAUAGAACACCGAUUGCGAAGGCAGUUCACUAAGGUUGUAUUGACACUGAGGCACGAAAGCGUGGGGAUCAAACAGG